GCUGCUGCUGCUGCUGCUACUGCUGUUGCUGCUGCUGCUGCUGCUGCUGCUGCUGCUGCUGCUGCUGCUGCUGCUACUGCUGUUGCUGCUGCUGCUGCUGC
This 101-nucleotide small RNA is filed under the name Drosophila guanche. The record is from RNAcentral. Lineage: Eukaryota; Metazoa; Arthropoda; Insecta; Diptera; Drosophilidae.